Molecule: ribosomal RNA, 484 nt
Filed under: uncultured bacterium
Lineage: Bacteria
Description: partial 16S ribosomal RNA
Rfam family: Bacterial small subunit ribosomal RNA
Source: RNAcentral
AUUGAACGCUGGCGGCAGGCCUAACACAUGCAAGUCGAGCGGAUGAAGGGAGCUUGCUCCUGGAUUCAGCGGCGGACGGGUGAGUAAUGCCUAGGAAUCUGCCUGGUAGUGGGGGAUAACGUCCGGAAACGGGCGCUAAUACCGCAUACGUCCUGAGGGAGAAAGUGGGGGAUCUUCGGACCUCACGCUAUCAGAUGAGCCUAGGUCGGAUUAGCUAGGUGGUGGGGUAAAGGCCUACCAAGGCGGCUAUCCGUAACUGGUCUGAAAGGAUGAUCCGUCACACUGGAACUGAGACACGGCCCAGACUCCUACGGGAGGCAGCAGUGGGGACUAUUGGACGAUGGGGGAAUGCCUGAUCCAGCCCUGCCGCGUGUGUCAAGAAGGUCUUCGGCUUGGAAAGCAAUUUAAGUUGGGAGGAAGGGAAGUAAGUUAAUACCUUGCUGUUUUGACGUUACCAACAGAAUAAGCACCGGCUAACUUCGUG